RNAcentral lists this transfer RNA (73 nucleotides) under Radix sp. MOTU3. Its description in RNAcentral is "tRNA-Ser". Lineage: Eukaryota; Metazoa; Mollusca; Gastropoda; Lymnaeidae. The record is from RNAcentral.
UUCAAUUACUUUUUCGUAGCAAGUUUUUUGUUUAAAAAGGAUUUUGAAAAUCUUUUAAGGAUGUAAAAAAAAU